This 468-nucleotide ribosomal RNA is filed under the name uncultured bacterium. RNAcentral's name for it is "partial 16S ribosomal RNA". It matches the Rfam family "Bacterial small subunit ribosomal RNA", at positions 28 to 507 of the family's 1533-position model. The record is from RNAcentral.
GACGAACGCUGGCGGCGUGCUUAACACAUGCGAGUCGAACGGAAAGGCCCUGCUUUUGUGGGGUGCUCGAGUGGCGAACGGGUGAGUAACACGUGAGUAACCUGCCCUUGACUUUGGGAUAACUUCAGGAAACUGGGGCUAAUACCGGAUAGGAGCUCCUGCUGCAUGGUGGGGGUUGGAAAGUUUCGGCGGUUGGGGAUGGACGCGCGGCUUAUCAGCUUGUUGGUGGGGUAGUGGCUUACCAAGGCUUUGACGGGUAGCCGGCCUGGGAGGGUGACCGGCCACAUUGGGACUGAGAUACGGCCCAGACUCCUACGGUAGGCAGCAGUGGGGAAUAUUGCACAAUGGGCGGAAGCCUGAUGCAGCAACGCCGCGUGCGGGAUGACGGCCUUCGGGUUGUAAACCGCUUUCGCCUGUGACGAAGCGUGAGUGACGGUAAUGGGUAAAGAAGCACCGGCUAACUACGUG